Molecule: ribosomal RNA, 254 nt
Filed under: uncultured bacterium
Lineage: Bacteria
Description: partial 16S ribosomal RNA
Rfam family: Bacterial small subunit ribosomal RNA
Source: RNAcentral
UACAUAGGGUGCUAGCGUUAAUCGGAAUUACUGGGCGUAAAGGGUGUGUAGGUGGUUGAAGUAAGUCAGAUGUAAAAACCCCGGGCUUAACCUGGGAAUGUCGUUCGAAACUGCUUAGCUAGAGUACUAUAGAGGAUAGUGGAAUUUCCAGUGUAGCAGUGAAAUGCGUAGAUAUUGGAAGGAACACCAGUGGCGAAGGCGACUAUCUGGAUAGAUACUGACACUGAAACACGAAAGCAUGGGUAGCAAACAGG